AUUGAACGCUGGCGGCAGGCCUAACACAUGCAAGUCGAGCGGUAACAGGAAUUAGCUUGCUAAUUUGCUGACGAGCGGCGGACGGGUGAGUAAUGCCUAGGGAACUGCCCAGUCGAGGGGGAUAACAGUUGGAAACGACUGCUAAUACCGCAUACGCCCUACGGGGGAAAAGAGGGGACCUUCGGGCCUUCUGCGAUUGGAUGUACCUAGGUGGGAUUAGCUAGUUGGUGAGGUAAUGGCUCACCAAGGCGACGAUCCCUAGCUGUUCUGAGAGGAUGAUCAGCCACACUGGGACUGAGACACGGCCCAGACUCCUACGGGAGGCAGCAGUGGGGAAUAUUGCACAAUGGGCGCAAGCCUGAUGCAGCCAUGCCGCGUGUGUGAAGAAGGCCUUCGGGUUGUAAAGCACUUUCAGCGAGGAGGAAAGCUUAAGCGUUAAUAGCGUUUAGGUGUGACGUUACUCGCAGAAGAAGGACCGGCUAACUUCGUGCCAGCAGCCGCGGUAAUACGAGGGGUCCAAGCGUUAAUCGGAAUUACUGGGCGUAAAGCGUACGCAGGCGGUUUGUUAAGCGAGAUGUGAAAGCCCCGGGCUCAACCUGGGAAUAGCAUUUCGAACUGGCAGACUAGAGUCUUGUAGAGGGGGGUAGAAUUUCAGGUGUAGCGGUGAAAUGCGUAGAGAUCUGAAGGAAUACCGGUGGCGAAGGCGGCCCCCUGGACAAAGACUGACGCUCAGGUACGAAAGCGUGGGGAGCAAACAGG
Molecule: ribosomal RNA, 759 nt
Filed under: uncultured bacterium
Lineage: Bacteria
Description: bacterial SSU rRNA
Rfam family: Bacterial small subunit ribosomal RNA
Source: RNAcentral